This 253-nucleotide ribosomal RNA is filed under the name uncultured bacterium. RNAcentral's name for it is "partial 16S ribosomal RNA". It matches the Rfam family "Bacterial small subunit ribosomal RNA", at positions 524 to 776 of the family's 1533-position model. The record is from RNAcentral.
UACGUAGGGUGCGAGCGUUGUCCGGAUUUAUUGGGCGUAAAGGGCGCGUAGGCGGCCUGGCAAGUGGAUGGUGAAAUCCCUCGGCUUAACCGAGGAACUGCCAUCCAGACUGCUUGGCUUGAGACCGGGAGAGGUGAGUGGAAUUCCCAGUGUAGCGGUGAAAUGCGUAGAUAUUGGGAGGAACACCAGUGGCGAAGGCGGCUCACUGGACCGGUACUGACGCUGAGGCGCGAAAGCGUGGGGAGCAAACGGG